This 475-nucleotide long non-coding RNA is filed under the name Vitis vinifera (wine grape). RNAcentral's name for it is "long non-coding RNA (VVIN_LNC001659)". Lineage: Eukaryota; Viridiplantae; Streptophyta; Magnoliopsida; Vitales; Vitaceae. The record is from RNAcentral.
CUUAGUAGAUGUGCUAAUUAGCACUCAAAAGCUCUUGUGGAUAUAGUCCUAGAUUAGACCUGGAUGAAGUUUUGUAUGUGUGACUGCUUUCAUGAUGGCUAUUUGUGUUUUUCCUCUCAGUCGAGUUGUAGAAGCUGCUCCACAUAAAGUGAUUGUGCUCCCUGCAAUUGGAACAGAUGUAGAUGUUCAAUUAAGAGAACAAGAUUUAUCAUGGAAAGAUUUCCUUUCCCAUGCUGAUCAUCUUCCAAGGUAAUGCAAACACCUUUGGUGUUAGUUGUUUUGCUGGAAUAAGUAUGCUUGUGAUUGAUGGACGUGUCUAUAAAUCCCAUCUAAGACUGAAGUUGUGUUUUUGUUUGUGUAGCACUCAAUUUGAAUAGUUUCUUGCAGACUUCCUAUAUGUAUUAUAUACUGGACUGACAAUUUUUUUGACAUUUUUUCACAGACCGAAUAACUACUCACCUGUCUAUCAACCAAU